This 351-nucleotide long non-coding RNA is filed under the name Salmo salar (Atlantic salmon). Its description in RNAcentral is "lncRNA (ENSSSAG00000096817.1)". Lineage: Eukaryota; Metazoa; Chordata; Actinopteri; Salmoniformes; Salmonidae. The record is from RNAcentral.
UGGGAUGGAGAUGUGAUGGAGAUGGGAUGGAGAUGGGAUGGAGAUGGGAUGGAGGUGGGAUGGAGGUGGGAUGGAGAUGUGAUGGAGAUGUGAUGGAGGUGUGAUGGAGAUGUGAUAGAGAUGUGAUGGAGGUGGGAUGGAGAUGUGAUGGAGGUGGGAUGGAGAUGGGAUGGAGGUGGGAUGGAGAUGGGAUGGAGAUGUGAUGGAGAUGGGAUGGAGAUGCGAUGGAGAUGGGAUGGAGGUGGGAUGGAGGUGGGAUGGAGAUGGGAUGGAGAUGUGAUGGAGAUGUGAUGGAGAUGUGAUGGAGAUGGGAUGGAGAUGUGAUGGAGAUGCGAUGGAGAUGGGAUGGAG